This 65-nucleotide transfer RNA is filed under the name Aplysia kurodai (Kuroda's sea hare). RNAcentral describes it as "tRNA-Phe". Lineage: Eukaryota; Metazoa; Mollusca; Gastropoda; Aplysiida; Aplysiidae. The record is from RNAcentral.
UGACAAAUAGCUUAAAUUAAAGCAUAGCACUGAAGUUGCUAGUAUAGGCUUCGCCCUUUUGUUAA